RNAcentral lists this long non-coding RNA (809 nucleotides) under Nicotiana benthamiana. RNAcentral describes it as "long non-coding RNA (NBEN_LNC040027)". Lineage: Eukaryota; Viridiplantae; Streptophyta; Magnoliopsida; Solanales; Solanaceae. The record is from RNAcentral.
UCGCAUUCCAUAAAGUUGAAGCAUAAAUUAAUACAAAUAAAUAAAAUCCAGAAACAAAUAUCAAUAUAAUUUUAUUAAUAAGGUAAAUGCAUGAUGAAUCAUACAAUUUCAUACCCAGCCAACUUUUGUAGUGGCGUUUAUUGUAAUUUUGAAAUAACGUGUUGUUCACUUGACUUUCUUUAUUAUACAUACAUGUAAAUUAAACAACACAAAAUCAAACUGCAUAAUGGGAUGUGUAGAAGAGCUUGUCUCCGAUGCACACUAACCCUCCGUGCUACAUACAGGAAUAGCAAGUGCAACAGAGUAUCGACAAGCGCAACAAACCCAACAGUCGUUGCAAUUAACGCGAGAAUUACAAGAUCUAAAACAAGUGUUGAGUUGUGGGAGUAGUCUCUUCCUCAUUCCUAAUAGAUUAUGAUCAACAUCCAGUGCAGCUCUGACUGUUGUGUUUGUCAAAAAGGGCACAUGUGCUACAAAUAUUCGUUAUACAGGGAAUUAGAUGUAAAUUCAUGCUUUAAUAUGAAAGAUAUACACAGUCAUGUAUAUAUAAAACUACAUACAUAAUACAAGAUGUAGAUAAUAUAUAAUUAAAAUUUACACUUAAACGUAAGCGGUACUUACUAGUUGCCACCAUGACGAGAAUAGCGAGCACAAAAGAAUUCUUUAGCAACAUCAUUGUGUUAUAAAAGUUUAUGAGUGGCUAAUUACUUCUAAAAUGUCGUAAUUUAUAGACCUUCUUGAGAUCAAACUACAUCUCUGGCAUGUGCCGUACUUGCUUCGUUUUUUGCUUUUCUAGAUUAUUUAUUAUC